AGAAUCAACGCUGGCGGCGUGCCUAACACAUGCAAGUCGAACGAGAAAGGGGAGCAAUCCCUGAGUAAAGUGGCGCACGGGUGAGUAACACGUGACUAACCUACCCUGGAGUGGGGGAUAACUGAGGGAAACCUUAGCUAAUACCGCAUAACACCUACGGGUCAAAGGAGCAAUUCGCUUUGGGAGGGGGUCGCGGCCGAUUAGUUAGUUGGCGGGGUAAUGGCCCACCAAGACAGUGAUCGGUAUCCGGCCUGAGAGGGCGCACGGACACACUGGAACUGAAACACGGUCCAGACUCCUACGGGAGGCAGCAGUGGGGAAUUUUGCGCAAUGGGGGAAACCCUGACGCAGCAACGCCGCGUGGAGGAUGAAGUACUUCGGUACGUAAAACUCCUUUCGAUCGGGACGAUAAUGACGGUACCGGAAGAAGAAGCCCCGGCUAACUUCGCGCCAGCAGCCGC
This 461-nucleotide ribosomal RNA is filed under the name uncultured bacterium. Its description in RNAcentral is "SSU rRNA". It matches the Rfam family "Bacterial small subunit ribosomal RNA", at positions 26 to 518 of the family's 1533-position model. The record is from RNAcentral.